This 253-nucleotide ribosomal RNA is filed under the name uncultured bacterium. RNAcentral describes it as "partial 16S ribosomal RNA". It matches the Rfam family "Bacterial small subunit ribosomal RNA", at positions 524 to 776 of the family's 1533-position model. The record is from RNAcentral.
UACAGAGGUGGCAAGCGUUGUUCGGAAUUACUGGGCGUAAAGGGCGCGUAGGCGGUUCGUUAAGUCCUGUGUGAAAUCCCCCGGCUCAACUGGGGAACUGCACAGGAAACUAGCGGGCUUGAGUUCGGGAGAGGGAAGCGGAAUUCCGGGUGUAGCGGUGAAAUGCGUAGAUAUCAGGAGGAACACCGGUGGCGAAGGCGGCUUUCUGGACAGAAACUGACGCUGAUGCGCGAAAGCUAGGGGAGCAAACAGG